AGUGUUGUGGCUCAGUGGCAGAGUGCUUGCCUAGCACGUGUGAGGCACUGGGUUUGAUCCUCAGCACCACAU
Molecule: transfer RNA, 72 nt
Filed under: Marmota monax (woodchuck)
Lineage: Eukaryota; Metazoa; Chordata; Mammalia; Rodentia; Sciuridae
Rfam family: tRNA
About the family: Transfer RNA (tRNA) molecules are approximately 80 nucleotides in length. Their secondary structure includes four short double-helical elements and three loops (D, anti-codon, and T loops).
Source: Rfam by way of RNAcentral